Long non-coding RNA from Schistocerca nitens (vagrant locust), 357 nucleotides. RefSeq lists it as uncharacterized. The transcript is spliced from 3 exons. NCBI's taxonomy places the organism in Eukaryota, Metazoa, Arthropoda, Insecta, Orthoptera, Acrididae. The record is from RefSeq and is a predicted model, not a curated record.
AGUACACAUAAAAAUGACCUAUAUGAUGUACCAAAUGUAGUGUAUAGUUUGUCCUUUCCAUCAGGUUGAUUUGAUGGUGUGGCUGCAACAAUCAUAGUGCCAUCGAAAAUGUUUGUGCAGGAUGUGAGACAUCACCUGCACCACAGGUAACCAUGAGAGGUGCUGAACUUAAUAAAUCUUCUUUCUUUUACAGGUUGAUUUCAUUGUGUGGCUGCAACAAUCAUGCCAUCAGAAAUGGUUGAUUUGAUUGCGUGGCUGCAACAAUUGUGGUGUCAUUGGAAAUGUUUGGGCAUGAUGUGAUGGGCAUGAUGUGAGAUAUCACCUACACCAUUGAUAACCAUGAGAGGAACUGAGCUU